CCUUGCUACUUGGAUAACCGUAGUAAUUCUAGAGCUAAUACAUGCAGGAAUUCCCGACUUCGGAAGGGAUGUAUUUAUUAGAUAAGAAACCAAACCGGUCUCCGGUUGUGUGCUGAGUCAUAAUAACUGCUCGAAUCGCACAGCUCUACGCUGGCGAUGGUUCAUUCAAAUUUCUGCCCUAUCAGCUUUCGAUGGUAGGAUAGAGGCCUACCAUGGCGUUAACGGGUAACGGAGAAUUAGGGUUCGAUUCCGGAGAGGGAGCCUGAGAAAUGGCUACCACAUCCAAGGAAGGCAGCAGGCGCGUAAAUUGCCCGAAUCCUGACACAGGGAGGUAGUGACAAGAAAUAACAAUACAGGGCUCUCUGAGUCUUGUAAUUGGAAUGAGUACAAUUUACAUCUCUUCACGAGGAUCAAUUGGAGGGCAAGUCUGGUGCCAGCAGCCGCGGUAAUUCCAGCUCCAAUAGCGUAUAUUAAAGUUGUUGCAGUUAAAACGCUCGUAGUCGGAUUUCGGGGCGGGGCCGCCGGUCUGCCGAUAGGUAUGCACUGGCGGGCGCGUCCUUUUUCCCGGAGACGGCUGCUACUCUUAACUGAGCGGUGGUCGGAGACGGGAUGUUUACUUUGAAAAAAUCAGAGUGUUUCAAGCAGGCAGUCGCUCUUGCAUGGAUUAGCAUGGGAUAAUGAAAUAAGACUCUGGUGCUAUUUUGUUGGUUUCGAGCACCGGAGUAAUGAUUA
RNAcentral lists this ribosomal RNA (732 nucleotides) under uncultured eukaryote. Its description in RNAcentral is "SSU rRNA". It matches the Rfam family "Eukaryotic small subunit ribosomal RNA", at positions 130 to 871 of the family's 1831-position model. The record is from RNAcentral.